AGUGAGAGGUCCACUUCCAGAUACUCACGCGUGCGGGUCUGUAUUUAUUUGUUUGUCCUAGGCAAAGCCCCAGCUGCAGCCACAGCCACAGCCUUAGCCUGUCUCGGCCCCAGCCUCAGCCCCACACAUUCCAUUAUACAGAUAAAGAGAAAGUUCUCUCUCUCCCAAACGCACAGCAUCCGCAUAAGCAUCGGCCAGCAAAAAAGCUUUGCUUCUCUCGGUAAGCUUUGACACAAGGCGAGCUUUAUUGCGCAGGUGAUGAUGCUAAAGUAUGUCACCGGGACAUCUGGGUAUCUCCUCUCCACUGCAUUCCGUUACACAUACACAGAUGUUAGUUCUUAUUAUUGUUAUUCGCCCGAGGAUUCCCAUUUAACAAUUGUCAACUGAAAACUUUUCAAUUACAGUGGAUAAAUUGAAUAUUAUAUACAAUUACUAGACUGGACAAAUAGAUAUGCAACUGUAUAUUUUCUCUACCCUGAUGUUACGCACAUAACUGAAUAAGCAUAUGGAUUUUUUGGAAUCGUUUAGUCAGACACUAAAUAUUUUCAAUUAUAGAUAUUAGUACCCAGACUUAAAGUCUUCAUUCAUUUAUGAUAACAAAUAUAGCUCAUUCACAAAUCAAAUGUAUGACAUAAUUUAUUGCAUAAUAUUCUAUUAUUCAAAAUUUUGUGACACAACUCAUUAAUUAUAAAUUUCACAAUUUACCUAAUCUAUAAUAUCUUAUAUCACAACUUUUGGCUAGGGAUUAAAACAUUUCUAUAUCAUGUGCAAAAAAA
Long non-coding RNA from Drosophila mojavensis, 776 nucleotides. RefSeq lists it as uncharacterized. The transcript is spliced from 2 exons. Lineage: Eukaryota; Metazoa; Arthropoda; Insecta; Diptera; Drosophilidae. The record is from RefSeq and is a predicted model, not a curated record.